RNAcentral lists this ribosomal RNA (253 nucleotides) under uncultured bacterium. RNAcentral describes it as "partial 16S ribosomal RNA". It matches the Rfam family "Bacterial small subunit ribosomal RNA", at positions 524 to 776 of the family's 1533-position model. The record is from RNAcentral.
UACGGGGGGGGCAAGCGUUGUUCGGAAUUACUGGGCGUAAAGGGCUCGUAGGUGGCCAACUAAGUCGGACGUGAAAUCCCUCGGCUUAACCGGGGAACUGCGUCCGAUACUGGUUGGCUUGAGUUUGGGAGAGGGAUGCGGAAUUCCAGGUGUAGCGGUGAAAUGCGUAGAUAUUGGGAGGAACACCAGUGGCGAAGGCGGCUCACUGGACUGGUACUGACGCUGAUGCGCGAAAGCGUGGGGAGCAAACAGG